This 685-nucleotide ribosomal RNA is filed under the name uncultured bacterium. RNAcentral describes it as "bacterial SSU rRNA". It matches the Rfam family "Bacterial small subunit ribosomal RNA", at positions 92 to 791 of the family's 1533-position model. The record is from RNAcentral.
UGGGUGGCGGACGGGUGAGUAACGCGUAAAGAACUUGCCUCACAGUUAGGGACAACAUUUGGAAACGAAUGCUAAUACCUGAUAUUAUGAUUUUAGGGCAUCCUAAGAUUAUGAAAGCUAUAUGCGCUGUGAGAGAGCUUUGCGUCCCAUUAGCUAGUUGGAGAGGUAACGGCUCACCAAGGCGAUGAUGGGUAGCCGGCCUGAGAGGGUGAACGGCCACAAGGGGACUGAGACACGGCCCUUACUCCUACGGGAGGCAGCAGUGGGGAAUAUUGGACAAUGGACCAAAAGUCUGAUCCAGCAAUUCUGUGUGCACGAUGACGUUUUUCGGAAUGUAAAGUGCUUUCAGUUGGGAAGAAAAAAAUGACGGUACCAACAGAAGAAGUGACGGCUAAAUACGUGCCAGCAGCCGCGGUAAUACGUAUGUCACAAGCGUUAUCCGGAUUUAUUGGGCGUAAAGCGCGUCUAGGUGGUUAUGUAAGUCUGAUGUGAAAAUGCAGGGCUCAACUCUGUAUUGCGUUGGAAACUGCAUGACUAGAGUACUGGAGAGGUAAGCGGAACUACAAGUGUAGAGGUGAAAUUCGUAGAUAUUUGUAGGAAUGCCGAUGGGGAAGCCAGCUUACUGGACAGAUACUGACGCUAAAGCGCGAAAGCGUGGGUAGCAAACAGGAUUAGAUACCCUGGU